UCCAGCAUCCCACACACCCAUCCCCCAGCAAAUCCAUUCCCAACCCCAGCAUCCCAGCCCCCCACACCCCGUCUCCAGCAUCUACCAGCCCCAAACACCUUCAUUCCCAGACCCACAAACCUCCUCCCUAUCAGUCUCCAUUCCCAUCUCCACACCACACACUCCGUUUCUCAGCAUAUCCAACUCCCAGACCCACAGAACGCCUGUGCCCUGCACAAAAGAGAUAGGGUUGUCAGUUUGAGAGGACUAUCUUGUGAUGUUCCACACAACUCUUCCCUGCCAUGCCCACUCUCAACACUAUCUCCCACAGAUCAGAAAGUGACUGCUCUCCAGUGUCUAGUUAAGUGCAUAUUUUCAAGUAGACUGCCAGAGAUGCAUGUGCAAAAUCCCAGUUUGUGUGCACAUGUAACAAUAGAUUUGCAUGCAGCCAUGGGCCCAUGCAUUUAUUUAUGUAUACUUACUUAUUUGGAUUGAAAUUCAACAUAAAAGAAUGCCUAGCUGAAACUCUAGACACCCUUGACAGUAAUUAUAAAUACAACAUGAAAAUAAUUAAGAAGGUCAAACUGGAGCAUGGGUCACUACAUAACAAUUAUUAGUCUGCAUGCAUAUUACAGAUUAGAACCUUCCAUUUCUCACAUUACCAUUAAGUCAGCCUCAGUUCUGCCAAAAAUCCACUCAGAGAAAUGGGCUAUGGAGCAUGCCUGGAAAAGCAACAGAGUUGAGCUAUUUUGGACCAAAAAGGGGAGUAUAUUCCAAAGCUGAGGAGCCCUGGAGAAUGCCCAACCAGCAGCUCCCUCCUUUUUUGUAUUGAGGGGCUCCAGCUCAGAUGCCUCUACUGAUCUCAACUCCAGCACUAUGGCACGUAAAAAGAAGUAUCUCAGGGUUGCCAGGACGGCUAUUAGCAAUCAUGUUUUAAAGCCGGGGUCCGCUAUGCUAGACACUCUGCUAACACAGAGGUGGACAUGGUCCCUGCCCUGAAGAGAUUACAGUCUUCCAGUCAUUCCCUGUGGUGUUGUGAACCCAGAGAGAACAAGAAGCAGCACAGGGCUUAGCUGGAAUAAAGACUGAAUUGCUUCUUACCCCAGAGAAAGGUGAUCUUUGCAGCUGAAGUCAUUAGUAAUGUAACAAGAAAUUCAUGGUGCGGAUUCUAAGAUCUUCAUGUAGCCUGGGGGGACGUAAGAAGCUGUUAUGCACACACAAUGAAAUUCAUUCCUGUGCGCAGAAGGGCCAGACAUGGCCUGGGCAUCAUUGAAGUCCCAGUUAAGCCCUACAGAAUUCACUAGUGCCUGGGCCUUGAGCUGGCUCUCCACACCGGGGUUAAUUUCACCCAUCGUGUCAGCCUGAAGUAGCCUUCUACUGUAAUGAUUAAAACUCUGCAAUCAGUACUGAGUGUCUUGUCAGAAAAAAGACCCACAGGAAUCCAAUAAGGUUCACUUCAUCAAGGAUAAAACUGACUGAAUAUUUACAGACGGCAACAUGUACUAAAUAAACCACAGAGUGGGACAAGUAGGAAAAGAGAAAAACCUCAACAUCCCUCCACCACCUGCAAUAAAAUAUAGACCUGCCAGACCACAUCCACUUGAAAAGGAAAGGAAGGCUUGAGAUUCUGCACUCUGGAUGCCACAUCUGAUCUUUCGAAUAGAUCAAAGAGAAGAAAAUUUCACUCACCAGGCCUCGCUGCCCAAACUUUCAGGAUUAUACCUUGGGGAAAAGUUGACCAUUUCAGUCCUACUGUGACGGAAAAUAAGGAAGCAGGUGGUCCCAUAACUACACAGGAGUGAUAUUUAAGGCUUUGAAUACUAAAGGCAGGGUUGCUAAAGAAUAAGCAGACGGUGCAGGUCUCACAGCACAAGCCUCAGUGACUCUGGCAUCCUGCAAUUAUUUGCAACCCAUGUUUGGUUUUCAAGGGUAGCCCAGAUAAACAUCAUAGA
Mauremys mutica (yellowpond turtle) is the source of this 1931-nucleotide long non-coding RNA. RefSeq lists it as uncharacterized. The record is from RefSeq and is a predicted model, not a curated record. NCBI's taxonomy places the organism in Eukaryota, Metazoa, Chordata, Testudines, Geoemydidae. The transcript is spliced from 5 exons.